Schistosoma mansoni is the source of this 45-nucleotide non-coding RNA. NCBI's taxonomy places the organism in Eukaryota, Metazoa, Platyhelminthes, Trematoda, Strigeidida, Schistosomatidae. The record is from Rfam.
GUCCAGCUGAUAAAUCCCAAAUAGGACGAAACGCGCGCCCUGGAU